This is a non-coding RNA of Streptococcus macacae NCTC 11558, 116 nucleotides long. Lineage: Bacteria; Bacillati; Bacillota; Bacilli; Lactobacillales; Streptococcaceae. The record is from Rfam.
UUAAGUGACGAUAGCCUAGGGGAUACACCUGUUUCCAUGCCGAACACAGCCGUUAAGCCCUAGCGCGCCUGAAGUAGUGGGAGGCUGCCUCCUGUGAGAUAGGGGCGUUGCUUAGC